UACGAACCGGACAAACGUUAUUCGGAAUCACUGGGCUUAAAGCGUGCGUAGGCGGCUUAGAAGGUGGGGUGUGAAAGCCCUCGGCUCAACCGAGGAAUUGCGCUCCAAACCGCUAAGCUUGAGGGAGAUAGAGGUGAGCGGAACUGAUGGUGGAGCGGUGAAAUGCGUUGAUAUCAUCAGGAACACCAGAGGCGAAGGCGGCUCACUGGGUCUCUUCUGACGCUGAGGCACGAAAGCUAGGGUAGCGAACGGG
This 253-nucleotide unclassified non-coding RNA is filed under the name uncultured Pirellulaceae bacterium. RNAcentral describes it as "contains 16S-23S intergenic spacer region". It matches the Rfam family "Bacterial small subunit ribosomal RNA", at positions 524 to 776 of the family's 1533-position model. The record is from RNAcentral. Lineage: Bacteria; Pseudomonadati; Planctomycetota; Planctomycetia; Pirellulales; Pirellulaceae.